UAUCUCUGUAGAGUCUGCAUAUCAAUAAGCGGAGGAAAAGAAACUAACUAGGAUUCCCUCAGUAACGGCGAGUGAAGCGGGAAGAGCUCAAAUUUGAAAUCUUCAAGGUUUGACCUUGACGAAUUGUAGUUUAAAGAAGUGUUUUCGGUUAGAGGAGUAGUAAAAGUUCUUUGGAAUAGGACAUCAUAGAGGGUGAGAAUCCCGUAUUUGACUAUUCUUUCUAGCUUUGUGAUACACUUUCAAAGAGUCGGAUUGUUUGGGAAUGCAGUCCAAAAUGGGUGGUAAAUUUCAUCUAAAGCUAAAUAUUGGCGAGAGACCGAUAGCGAACAAGUACCGUGAGGGAAAGAUGAAAAGAACUUUGAAAAGAGAGUUAAACAGUACGUGAAAUUGUCAAAAGGGAAGCGUUUGACACCAGUGUUGUUUUUCCGAAAAUCAAUUAAAAAUUGAUUCAUGCCAGGUUGUAUUGACCUUAUCAGCUUGCAAUUUGGUUUUGGGUCUCUUUUUGAUGCACUUUUCGGUUAACAAGUCAACAUCAAUUUCCUUUGCUGUAAAGGAGUAUAGGAAGGUGGCUUUCAUUUCGGUAGAAGUGUUUAUAGCCUUUUAUCUCUGCAGUCGGGGAGAUUGAGGUCUGCAGCGUAGAUCCUUCGGGGCUAGAUACAUUUAUGCUAAGUUAUAGCUUUUCAUAGACAACUUGUUGACUAUGUUUAGUCAUGUAGCUUACUCGUAAGUGCUAUUUUACCUACGCUUAGGAUGUUGAAGACUCUACAGAGAUA
Molecule: ribosomal RNA, 773 nt
Filed under: uncultured Neocallimastigales
Lineage: Eukaryota; Fungi; Neocallimastigomycota; Neocallimastigomycetes; Neocallimastigales
Description: partial large subunit ribosomal RNA
Rfam family: Eukaryotic large subunit ribosomal RNA
Source: RNAcentral